GGGCUGGUUUUAGCCCAGCAGUUCCUUUGAGUCUGGCUUCCCAACCGCCCGGGCCAAUUAGUCCGGUGGUUCCAGACCCGCGGGUGCUCUCCAGUCCUUUU
Molecule: unclassified non-coding RNA, 101 nt
Organism: Cavia porcellus (domestic guinea pig)
Lineage: Eukaryota; Metazoa; Chordata; Mammalia; Rodentia; Caviidae
Gene: Vault
Rfam family: Vault RNA
About the family: This family of RNAs are found as part of the enigmatic vault ribonucleoprotein complex.
Source: Ensembl